RNAcentral lists this long non-coding RNA (3610 nucleotides) under Homo sapiens (human). RNAcentral describes it as "HSALNT0372702". Lineage: Eukaryota; Metazoa; Chordata; Mammalia; Primates; Hominidae. The record is from RNAcentral.
UCUUGCCCUUCCACCUAGUUUCCAUGUUAUGAUGCAGCAAGAAGGCCCUUGCCAGAUGUGGCUCCUGGAUUGUGGACUUUUCAGCCCCCAGAACUGUGAGCCAAACAAACUUCUUUUGUUCAUAACUUCCCCAGUCUGUGAUAUCCUGUUACAGCAGCAGAAAAUGGACUAAGACACCCAGGGAUGUACCUGGAACCUGGAAAAAGCUGUUGGAAGGUAGCUAGAGAAGAGCUCAUCACAGCAGUAUAAGGACAAUCUCUGCUCUUGUACGCUCAGGGGCAGAUCUGCAUCACGGGCUUGCAUGUCCAAUUUCACCUUGGCACUUGCUUCUCCGAGGGUCUGGACAUGGGGCUUCGUUUGAGUCUGGAAGCAGUGGAGAGGGGCCAGAAGCUCCAGGCCUUGGCUUGGAGAUCUCUACAGGUGUGCAUGGAGAUGUUUGAAGUGCUAAUGGCUGAGACAGAGCAAGUGGCAGAGGCCUAGGAGACGGAGGCUGAAAGAGUCUGAGGAGGAAAGGAGGCACUGAGGGACUCACAUGAAGCUACUCUGUCAGCAUUCUAAAACUUCUGACAUUCUUUUCUAUGAAGAUAAUUGAAUCACCAAAUUUGAUGAAAUGUUCCCCAAAUAUCAGGUGAAAAAAACUCAUCUAAACCUUUGGACUUGGAAUUGCCCACAUAGACCACAUCAGCAAUGGAAGACAGAGCAAAUAACAUGUCGGUUCAAUGUAUGAAGGAGCUUUUCUUUCCCCUGCCCCAACCCUCAGACAGGAUUUUUGUCUGUUUUUCUCACUGUUGAAUCCCAAAAGCAAAGAAGAAUACCUAGCAUAGAGUUAGUGUUCAAGAAACAUUUGCUAAAUGGAUGAACACCUCUUCAUUUUAUGAGAAAUGAAUCUUCCCCAAGAAGGGGCUCCCGGGUGCAUCUUGUGUGUAGACAUCUCUAUGUCCCCAGGCUGCUGUAGAGCUGAGUCAUCUUUGUGCCCACACCUGGGAAGCAGGACCCUUGUUCGUGUUUCUUUGGCCUUGGGCAUGUCAGUGAGUAAGGAGGAUGUGUGGGAUCUGUGUCCAUAUUUACGUAAGAAAGCAAUAUAGCCUACUGCCCCUUUCAUUUUCAGCAAGUGUGUGUUUACACUGGCCUGGGAUCUACUAUAAAGUUUAAUGUUUGGUUAUACAUUUAUUUCUCAGCUACUUUUGUGAAUAAACAUUUUCUAAAACAUAUCUAUUUUAAAAGUGACAAUGUUUGAAUGAAAGAAAGAGGAGGAGUGAAGCCUGGUAGUUAAUUUGCAGAACUUAGAGCCUGAAUUUUUUGGGUUGGAUCUUUGAUUUUACCAUUCAUUAGUUUUGUGAUCUUCCUCAAUUUCCCAAUCUGUAAAAUGGAAAUAAUAAUAGUACCUACCUCAUGGGAUGUCAAGAGUAAAUAUAAAAAAUGUGUGACACCCAGGAAUGACUAUAUAAGUACUAGCAGUUAAUAUUAUUUAUUAUUAUUAUUCCUGCUUGAAUAAUCACUUUGAGCUAAAUCACUUUGUUUUUACUACUAGCAAUAAGCAUGCUUAAAUACUUUUAAUGUUAUUAUAAUUUGUAUUAUAGUAGACUAAUCUGGAAUUUUAUUAAGCAGAAUUCCCUCUAGACAGGCAUCUAUGCAUACGGAGCAAAAAAUGAUGUAUAUAAUAAUAAGUUUGAGGCACUGAAAGAUCUUGAAUGAGCUUCUGAAUCAUCAGUUACUGUAUCUUUGGGGAACACCAGAGAAAGACUCUCCUUACCAUCCUCACUGCAACUAAACUUCGGGACCCUGGGCUUUGGGUUCAUGGUCUCGCCACUGAAAAGGUUCCCUCCACACUUUUGGAAUUGUGCACCCAUUGGAACCCUUGAGGUAAAGCUAACCAGAGAAAUUUCUCCCAAGAAGAAGAAGAUGGCAUCCUUGAAGUGAACAGCUUUUCCCAAGUUCACAGAGUAAGACUUCUACUAUCAUGAAACUCUUAUCUUUGAAUAUUUUUUCUUGCUUAUAUCUCUACUAACAAUAGAAGUGGAAAAAGGGUCUGUUAUGUGCACUUAUGGGGUAUACUUUUAUUUGUGAAGAAGUUUGCAGCCAGCCUUAUACAUGGAUAACCUUCUACUUUGAUAGAGAUGAAGGCCCAAUGCAGGUAAGAAACUUUAGUGGUACAUAUGUUGCCCCAUAAUCACUCAAAAACAAAAUAUUGGUUCAUCCCUCUUAACCCACAUCAUGGGUUAAAGAGAACAUUGCCAGGGGGUCUUCACUCUCCUAGAAGGGCAUCAUUUGUUAAGUCCUUUUUCCAUGGCUUAAAGUAAAGGAAGCAAUGAUUAGAAAUGUAUCCCUCAUGAUAGGCUCUAUAGCAAAUCUACUUUAAAGGCUAUCGUUACACAACAGAUUUUAAAUUCUCUUUGAAAGUUAUGCUAAAUAGAAUUGGCUAAACAAAGAAGUUCUUCUGCAGCUGCUGACACUUGCGGCCUAUGGAGAAACAGGUCAAAUGCAGAUUAUAAAAAUUCAGUGUAGGGGAUUAAUGAAAAGACCACUUAGUCAAGUGAGUAGACUCUUCAUCUAGCUCAUUCUUUAAACUAUUUAAGUGUAGGUGGUUUGGUUUCUAGGGACCCUGGUUAAGGAGCAUACUCUGAACUCUGGGUAUUUUCCUUCCAGUAGUGAUAAUAGUAGUCUCCUUGGUGCACUGUAUUCUCUCAAAGGUUUUAAAUGCUUGCAUGCAGCCAUCUCUAGAACAUCAAAUGGUCUCUCUUCGACUGGAAUGACAACAGCUGAAAGAAAUGUUCAACCAUGAGGACACCAUACCUAUAAAUGAUGUGCUGAGACUGGAAACCCAAAAUGUUGGUAACUGAGAAGUGGCACUAAGGCCCUAAGUUUUGGUUGCACACUCACCUAAGUGAGAACCUGACCAAAAAGGGGGGAUUUUUAAAACAAAACUCUGUGAGGCCAUUGUUUUGGACUAAGCUCAUGCACUCAUGCCCUGGGCCCCAACAGACUAAAGCAAACACAGAUGGAGUCAUUUGUGCUAAGACUUUAAGGAAACGCUUGGAUUCCACAACAGACUAGCUUUUGUUUUUUUCUUCUGCAAAUCUCUAUAACAAACAUUUCUGACAACAUAGGUAUCCACCCCCUGAAGUUCCCAUUAAAUCUUUUAACCAAAUUCAUUUCCUCUCACCUAGAGACCAUCAAGCUUCAGAUGAUGAUGCAACAAAGGUUUCAGCCAGUUCCAGGUGAAGACACCACCCUUGGACAUCAAGAAGCUACCCUGCCUCCACUAGAUAGAGCAGGGAGAGUUCUGUGAUCCCCAAUAGGGCCUUUGUAGACGCUAUCCCUUUGUGGAGAAGACUCUCAACACCCUUCAAAUACUAUGAUCUCAUCAGGAAGGCCCUCCCUGACCACCUAUGCCUGGAACUGUUCUGGGUUUGUGAGACACAGUUGGGAAGAAGACAGACUUGAGCACGGGCAGCGGUGGUUGCCAUGAAGAUGUGUGAGAAGACAGGCCUGCCUGAAAAUGCUGCUGGUCCUGGUACUGUCCUGCCCGCAACAGCACGCACACUCCAGUCUUGCCUUUUCUUGUGCUUUUUUUUCCAUUUCUUUUUAAAGAAAUCUCAUUUCCCUUCUU